Molecule: long non-coding RNA, 493 nt
Organism: Dreissena polymorpha
Lineage: Eukaryota; Metazoa; Mollusca; Bivalvia; Myida; Dreissenidae
Exons: 2
Source: RefSeq, a predicted model, not a curated record
CUAAUCUGGGACGACACUUUACGCACAUGCGUUAAGCCCAAUUUUGUCUUUUGUAAAAACGCGUCUCAAAUGAAUACUUUUUAUACGAACUGCUGCACUUGUGAAAGUAUUUUUAGUUAUUCGAAAGUAGUGGCUAUUUCAGGGGUGUUCAUUUCUCUUAUGGUACAGGGAAUUUACCGAUCGCCGACAAGCCUUGUGUCGUUAUUUUCCACAUUUUUGUCUGCAACAUUAAGGUGCAUUUAAUUGUGCGACUAUUUGAAAAAGAAACGUUUUGGGUUUCGUAUUUUAUUUGUGUUUUGACGCAAUUUGUAUACCUUUACUGUUUUCUGAAGGUGCCAGCAUUGAAGCUAUUGAGAUUUUCGAAACGAGAAACUUUUUUCAAAUUUUCUAAAAAUGACAUUCUUCUCUAACUUGUUACUAGGCUUGCACAAUCGGAAUCAACGGACAGGAAAGAAAUUCAUUUUAAAUUUCAUUAAAUUAUCUGUUGUUUUUU